CUCGCGCCUCAGGAUAUUGGGGUUGAGUUUCCUGGGUCAGACACUGCUGAUUCAGAAAGGGAUUAGGCAUUUAUAUGGAUAAUAUCAUCUUAACUUCGCUGGUAUACAAAAUGUAGAAGGGAUAUAAAUCCUCGUGCUUCAGGAUAUAAGCCUACCACUAACUGAUGGGGGUCAGGAAGAAACUUCUCCUAUGGGCAGAUCAUUUCUUCAGAUAAAGAAUAUUUCUUCUCCCAACCUGCCCUGCCUCACACCUACAGUACCCCGCAGCAACAAGAGAGCUCACUGACGUGAAAAGAAUGGAACAUGACAACAGCGAAGACGACGACAGCAGAGACACCUCCGAAGAAAUGCGCUAGAGCCCUUGGGCCGUCACGCUUCAGGAAUGUGCGUGAGGUACUAGGAUACCUGGAGAUGGGGGGUGUCCUGCUGGCCGUAGCCACUUUCGAUCUCCUGGCUUCUGCCCCCUACCCAGCUGGCAGGGCAUUGUGCAGCACCCUUUCCAGCCCACCUGGGUGCAGGAGACCAAGGAAGAGAGCAUCUGCCAUCCAGCUCCAUCCCAUCUAGAGCAAUUCCAGGAUGGAGCGGCUGAAGCGGAUGCUGAGGAGGAAGCCUGGGCAGGUGGCUCUGGAGCCAGUAGGGAGCAGCGUCCGUCUUGCCCAGGAGGAGAGUGGCCCCUCUGUCCCCGCGGGCGGGGAAGAGACCAGUGGGCAGGCAAAGCGGAGGAGCUCUCUGACCUUCUGGAGGAAGAGAAAACCACCAGCUCCCUUAGCAGGCCCUGAGGCACCUUCUGGUCCCAAAUGGAGGUGGCCCUGAGUGAUGCUAUGUAGGGACCCAGGAGAGGGCGUGAGCCAGGCAAGGUGGCUCUGCGGCUUCCUUUCCAGGAAGCAGAGGAGGCAGGAGCCCAGCCCCAGGGCCCAGCAGGAGCCAUCCACCCGCCUGGCCACCAAGGAGCCUCCAGCCAGCCCAGAGCAGGAGCUGGGCGGCUCCGGCAUGGGGACCAGCAGGUUCACCUACUCCCGAGGGGCCAGCAGCUCCUCUGUGGGUUCUGACAGCCCUGAGGUUGAAGGCUCCCUCUGUGCAGAGACCCCCAGUGCCCAGCAGCAGUGGGCUGAGGAGGAGGAAGAGGAAGAAGAGAAGGAGGAGGAGGAUGUGUCCCCUGAACAGGACACCAUCAGGGUCAUCCAGCAGCACCUCCAGGGCAGAGCUGAGAUACAAAAAUCCCCCAGCUGCGCUGCCCCCGAGUCUGUCCUGCCUCUUGUUCCAUCCCCACCCACGCAGGGGGGUCUUGUCCCAGAGAAUCCAUCACCCCCAAUGGGGGGAACUUCUCCCCUGUUUCCUGGCACCCCAAAGUGGGGGCAUUUGUCUCACGCAGGCCAAGGUGUCCGCUCCCUGCAGACACUGUCCCAGUUACAACCCCAGUCUGUUCAGGGUGACACUGGUUUCGGAAGCGGGGCGGUUUUCCCUGUCCAACUCCAUGGGGUUCCUGAGCCAUGGAGCUGGUGUAGGUGGGUUGGGGAGGUCCCCACCUAACCGUCUCAGUCUCUCUCUCCCCCUCCCCCCACUCCUAGUUGGUGGAGGACAGGGCCCAACAGCUCGGCUUCCUCCAUGUUGUCCCACGUCUGAGCUGCUUGGCACAGCAGCAGGAGCUGGACUCUCUGGAGCCCCAGGUCUCCAAAGCAGCCCUCGUGGAGAGCAUUGUGAAACGUCUGCAUCCCCUGGCAGCGAGGCAACUGGGCAGGUCGCUGACAGAGCU
This is a long non-coding RNA of Mauremys mutica (yellowpond turtle), 1753 nucleotides long. RefSeq lists it as uncharacterized. Lineage: Eukaryota; Metazoa; Chordata; Testudines; Geoemydidae. The record is from RefSeq and is a predicted model, not a curated record. The transcript is spliced from 7 exons.